GGGAACUGAGGCACAGAGAGAUGGAGGCCUUAUCUAAACAGGUUCUUUAUGUGUUUGUUUGUUUUUAACCAGUACAACUAUUUCCAUCAAGACAAGCCUUAUGUGACUUGCCCAAGGUCAUCCAGGAAACGUGGCAGAGCAUGAAGUUGAACCAAGGUGUCUGGAGUCCCGGGGUAGCACCCUACCCACUGGACUAGAUUUCCUUUCGGAAACUGCGGCCCUACAUUUUUGAUGUUAUGGUAUAAACACAAUCACGGCAAACAAGAGCAGCCUUACCUAAAACAUCACUGUAGUACUGAUUCCAUUCUUUCCACAAAACCUGGUGAAACAGAACAUCCUGAAGAGCAUAAAAGAGCAGGUUUCGCAAUCUCUCCAUGUAGGACAUCCUGUCCGUCAGUCCCCCCGUGCUGGCAGGUACGUAUGAAGGAGGGGCUGGAAGCCCCCCACACAGCCGCUCCGCUGUGUUCCCAUCAGAGAACCGGAAAGUAUAGACAAAAGGGAUUUCAAGCAACUCUGCUAUCAGCUCACCGCCCGGAGAAAGAGGGUCUGAGAUUAGCACAUCAAACCCCGCUUGCCGGAGCUUUGCUAUCAGCCUGGGGUUCAGCACCACACUGUCACAGGUCUGCUUCGACAUGUUGAGAAAGACUUCCACGCUAUUCAUCAUUUUCACCAGGCCCUCCCAGUAGGACAGAUGGGGAAGCUCGUACAUCCACAGGUGCAGGAAGUCCUCCAACAGGGCCGCCAUGGUCUCCUUGGUAAAGGGCACCAGCAGGACCUCAAAGUCAAAUGGGGAAGAGGACUCAUUGUAAUCGAUGAGCAAAUUUGCUGAAGGCACCAGCACAGUCACAUCGUGGCCCCGAAGGGAGAGUUCCUCCAGCACCAGUUUUAUGUUGAGCCAGUGACUGGCAUCGGUGGGCCAGACCAGCACCUUCCCACAGGAUCCUGAGCCCCAGCAGCUCAUGUGAACCCACAGCACCAGCAAAAGCCACUUCUUCAACAUCCUGGCUGUACGCGGCAGCUCUCAUCAGAGCUAAGUUCAGUUCCAGAGUCCACAGUGUGAACACUUCUAAGCACAGCCCACAAAGACUGGAUGCUGAAUGUUCCAAUCCUGAUAGAAGAAUAUGGUCAUUUCAGUGCAAAAUUACCAUAUGUGAGGCAACACUCAGCAAGUACCAAAUCCUGUUCUGGAUCACCUAGAAUUCUCCUUCUGAAUGAAACUGAUGGAUUCUUCUGCAGGAUUGAAAACAACCUGCUCCCUCAGCUGGACAGCUAUUGUUACACAAUGUGCAUUUUCAGAUCUGCAGGAAAAUUGUCAUCUUUGAAUUGCAAACUAUGGCCCCAGUCCAAAGCUCACUAAAUCAAUGCGAGUCUUUCCAA
This is a long non-coding RNA of Mauremys reevesii (Reeves's turtle), 1377 nucleotides long. RefSeq lists it as uncharacterized. Lineage: Eukaryota; Metazoa; Chordata; Testudines; Geoemydidae. The transcript is spliced from 2 exons. The record is from RefSeq and is a predicted model, not a curated record.